This 477-nucleotide ribosomal RNA is filed under the name uncultured bacterium. RNAcentral describes it as "partial 16S ribosomal RNA". It matches the Rfam family "Bacterial small subunit ribosomal RNA", at positions 28 to 506 of the family's 1533-position model. The record is from RNAcentral.
GAUGAACGCUGGCGGCGUGCUUAACACAUGCAAGUCGAACGAGAAGUGAAGACGGAAACCUUCGGGCGGAAGGCUUUAUUUCGAGUGGCGGACGGGUGAGUAACGCGUGGGUAACCUGCCUCAUACAGGGGGAUAACAGUUGGAAACGACUGUUAAUACCGCAUAAGACCACAGCACCGCAUGGUGCGGGGGUAAAAACUCCGGUGGUAUGAGAUGGACCCGCGUUCGAUUAGCCAGUUGGCGGGGUAACGGCCCACCAAAGCGACGAUCGAUAGCCGAUCUGAGAGGAGGACCGGCCACAUUGGGACUGAGACACGGCCCAAACUCCGACGGGAGGCAGCAGUGGGGAAUAUUGCACAAUGGGGGAAACCCUGAUGCAGCGACGCCGCGUGAGUGAAGAAGUAUUUCGGUAUGUAAAGCUCUAUCAGCAGGGAAGAAAAGGACGGUACCUGAGUAAGAAGCCCCGGCUAACUACGU